This 4284-nucleotide long non-coding RNA is filed under the name Canis lupus familiaris (dog). Its description in RNAcentral is "lncRNA (ENSCAFG00000053681.1, ENSCAFG00845009867.1)". The record is from RNAcentral. Lineage: Eukaryota; Metazoa; Chordata; Mammalia; Carnivora; Canidae.
AUCUGUAGACCCAAUGUGAGGCUCAAACUCACAACCCCGAGACUGAGUCACCUGCUCCGCCAACUGAGCCAGUCAGGCACCCCACUAAAGUCUAAUUUUGCAUUAAGAAAAUUAAGCAUAAUAAAAAGAAUGACCUACUUAAAUGUACUUGGAGUUCUUUCACAUUAGCAUGAACCAAAGACUGAGCAUCAUUUUAAACAUUUUCCAGUUAGCCACAGGAGAACUACAGAUGUAUUUUGGUAAAGGUAUUAAGUGCUUAAUUAUUUAACGGCUGCUUGAUUGAUAUAUGGCAUGGUGUAACUGAGAAAUAAUGGAUUAUGUGCUACUUGAGGGCAGGAACUUUCUUCUGGACCCUUGGGAGUGCCUAAUAAAUGCUUAUUAGAUGAAACAAUACUUGAAUUAGUAUGUCAUUCAUUAGCCUUGCAGUUUCAGAAUUCCUCCAGGCCCCCAAAGAACCUUUUUCUGUAUUCCUGAGAGACUUCUCUAUCACUUUGGAAGAGGUGAUAGAGCACUCAAGUUCCAAGGGUAUAAAAUGUGACUAGGAUAAAGAGGGACUCAGAAACUAAAAUAAAGCGUGUCAACAGCAUGGAGGUAGGAUAACAAGAGGACUGAGUAAAGGUACUAGAAAUCUACCAGAGUAGCUAAUCUAACAAUACAAUAAAGUAUCAUUUCUCUAUUAAUAGCUUUUUGGUUUCAACCAAUCUAUUUUGGAGCAAUUCAAGGAUUACAGUUCAGAUGGUAGAUUUUUGUUGAAUAUAAUCAAACCUUCAUUAGAGAACAAGGAGUCAUUUGCAAAUGGCAUUAUUUAUGAAUCACAUCAAAUGCAGAAUCACUUUUAAAACUUAAAUGUGCUUUGGUUCAGUCACCUGAAGUGGGAAGAAGAAGAGGUGGCAGGAGAUUAAGCUCAAGUUUAUCAGUUUUGAAACAAAAGAAGAAAUCUUAUAAAAGUAUUUUGUUAAUACAUAACAACUGUUCUUUCAGUUGGUAGUUUAGCUAGUAUCAAAAAAAGACAACAGAUGUACAGGUGUGCUCUAUGAACCUAUUUUUGGUACUUUAUUUUAACUAAAAAUUCUAUGCUUUGAUAGAAUUUGCCAGAUUUUUCUUUAAAGAGAAAUGGUUUCAAAUCUGCCACUAAGUAGUCUAUUUCUAGCAUAAAUUUCACUUAUCAUUACAUGAUAGGAGUAGCUAUGUUGCUCAAAAACACAUAAUCCUGAUAUAUAACAUAAUUAUUUUAUAACUGUUAUCACACAUUUAUUGUCUAUAUACCCAGCACAGGGAAGGAGACAGUUUUAAAAAAGGCGGCAGGGGAGAGACUGCUACUGUCAAUCUUUGAAGACGCUAUGUAGAAAGUCAAAAGAAUUCUAGAUUACCAAGCAAUCUUGAGAAACAGAACAGUAGCAAAUGGCAGAUUCCUCUGCUUUCAUCUUCAAGAGGGAAAAAAAAGCCACAAUAACAAAUUUAACUGAAAGAGAUUUUCAAACUCAAGACAGAAUAUAAUAUAAUACUACCUGGUACAUUAUAGACCUGAUGGAGAUAUACAUACAAAAAGAAUGAAUAUGAUUAUGGUCAAAUUCAACUUAAAGUUUAAGCAAAGUCCCAAAUUUAAAGAAGUCUCUUUUCCUUAUUUGAUCUGACCAGAGCAAUCUGCUUUGAGACCAAAGAGAUCUGGCAUUUUACUUCUUCAUUAGCAAUCGAAAAAAGAUGACCUUUGGCUUUCUAACCAGCCAUUCAUUCAUGGUGUCAAUGGUGGAUGGCAGUGACAAUGAAAUGUAUGCUGGAUAUUUGGAUAAUUUCAAUAUUAUGUACAAUCAAUAGCUUAUAACCAGUGAAAAUAAUAAGAACAAAGUUCAGCGUAAAUGUCCAAGAUAAGACACAAAAAAGCAGAGAAAGUGCUUAAGUCUACAGGUCUUCCCUGAAAGCUUCAAAAAUGUUUAACUUUUAAGUAGGUAGGGCUUUUAAUAGAAUUUGCAUAGCAGCUUACAAUAUAAUUUGCAUUUAAAAAUAUGGAGAUUCUUCUAUGUUUUUGAAAACAUACAAAUAUAUCCACAUGCAUAUAAAUUAAACAAGAAGACCUGGAGGUUCUCACAAAAUUAAAAAAAAAAUCCAUCACAACCUUUUCUCAAAAGUGGUCACACUUCUGUCCAUCAAAAUCAUUUACAAUGAAAACUUUUUCUGGGAGAAACAUAAUCUUGUCCAGAUUCCACACAGCUAAAUUUAAAAAAAAAGAAUAAAUUUUGGUUUAUUAGCUAAGUGCAUUUAAUCAGCUGAAAAAAGCUUUGUUGCCAUUCUACUUAGGAAGAUAAAUUAGGAAAACAAAUAAUCAGAGACAACUUUAAUCAUUUGUUGGUUAGAUUUUUCCACUUAUAAAAAUAUAAAAAAUAAAUAAUUCAACCUCUCCUGCCAUCUAAUAAUGUUCCACAAUAAAGUUGUGAGGGUACAGCUGAUAAAAGCAGGCACUAUCAGACUUUACCUAGCCUAAAAAGUGCUAAAACAUGGCUUUAAAAUAGAUGAAUGACAUUUAAUGUAAUAUUUUUGAUUGCUUGUGCAUGUUCCAAUAUUUAACCUGAAACUGUCUACUAGAUAGGUGAGUUUACAGUUAUAACUAUCUAAUAAAUACUGUAUAAACAUACAUUAAAGUAUUUCUUCAUAUAAGAUCUUAGAAACUAAUUUUCAGAUAAGGUUUGUUUGAUAACUUCAGGAAAGGGCUUACCUUUUUCAGAAAAGAAAUAACUGAGCCUUUUCUUUCUUUCUUUUUUUGGAGAGCAAAAUGAGAAAUUUAGGGAGUGAGGAAGAAUUUUCACAUGCCAAUUGGCUACUGGUAGACACAUCUGUGUGGAAUAUGGAGAAGAUGUCUAAGCCCCAGGUCUGGGGUUAGUUGAGAGCACAGGAAGCGGGUCCAUUGGGAUGAGGUGGACACUACUCUGCAGUUUCCAUUCUACACAUGGAAGCCCACAACAUUCCCAACAAUAUUCCCAAUUCAAAAUGAAAAAGAAAUGACAAGUUAAGCUGUUCUAUAAAAUAUGUGAAAUACCAAAAAUGCCCAUUUUUAGUUACCAUUUGAAAAUAUUUUGCCAUAUUUUGGCAUCUUAAUACAAAAUACCUAUUUAUCUAGGCUGUCCCAUUCAUAAAAAGCACUUCAUUUGUGGUUUGAAAAUUCCACAAACACACUUAACUGAAGAACAACCUGGUCAUCCAUGAUGAUGAUUGGAAAGCUGCUGAUGUUAAAAAAGCAGCUUAAGGGCUCUUGCUGUCAGGGGUGCUAGUGGUCAAAGGAAACCUCCCACAUAUUUUUAUUUCACAUUAAGACUCCAAAGAUUAAAAAACAAAACAAAACAAAAAAAACCCUAUGGACCUUGGUGUUAUAUGUGACAGUUCAAGCUUGAACAAAAUGAGUCAAAAUGGCUCACACGCCUUACCUUCUCCUGCUCACAUCUUCAUCACAUCUUUUUUAGAGACCUUUUUCAUAGAAUUUAUGAGCACCAGGGCUUAGAAGUUCCCCCUGAAAAUAUUCUCAGUGGCUUAGCCUUUCACACCACCACCAACAACAAAAAACCCCAAACAAAUGGCUUUGCUGCAGUCUGUGGCUGCAUGUGCAACUUUUCAGGUUAAUAAUGCUUUCAUGGCAAAGAGUGUCUAAGCUCCCUUAUCUGAGGGUAUUAUGUGUUGAAAUUCUGCUUCCAGAAAUCAUAGCUGGACCUUCAAGAUUCUAUUUUUUUGUUCCCUUGCAAAUUUACUUCACAUGGAACCAAACAUAGGUUUAUAAAUCCCUAAAAGAUAAAGUUCUUGAAAGACAUACUCUAGAUUUCAAUUUCCAGUUUUAGGUGGAUCAAAUAACAUUUCUAGAACUGUAGCUGGGGGAAGAACAGUUCUCUCUCCCUGGCCUCUACAUGUGGUUAAUCUCAUGUACAAGGAGGACUGACCGACAGGCAGAGGGGAGACAAUGGGGUUACAUUGUCUAAUUCACUAACUCUCUCCUCAUGAAUCUGCUCUUUAAGAUGUUCCACCUAGGUCAGUCUGGACUCACACCAAAUAGCUCAUGUUUUGCAUUUAUGGUUGUGGGUUUUUCCUAUUUGGAGUGCUACCCUCUCCUCCACUCUCCAGAAUGCUCACAUCUUCUUUAUGGCACUCCUGGUAAAUCUCGUGAGAACUGUUCCUAGACUUUCCUUCAGAGAACAUCCAAGUCAAUAUAACCUUUUCUUUCAGAUCUGGGGGCUGUGGUAAUCUUGACAUCUUAUACAGCUAUUAUACUAUUUUAAAUGUUUUCAGAUAUAUACCUCCCUCAUU